AUUGAACGCUGGCGGCAUGCCUAACACAUGCAAGUCGAACGGCAGCACAGAGGAGCUUGCUCCUUGGGUGGCGAGUGGCGGACGGGUGAGGAAUACAUCGGAAUCUACUCUGUCGUGGGGGAUAACGUAGGGAAACUUACGCUAAUACCGCAUACGACCUACGGGUGAAAGCAGGGGACCUUCGGGCCUUGCGCGAUUGAAUGAGCCGAUGUCGGAUUAGCUAGUUGGCGGGGUAAAGGCCCACCAAGGCGACGAUCCGUAGCUGGUCUGGGAGGAUGAUCAGCCACGCUGGAACUGAGACACGGUUCAGACUCCUACGGGAGGCAGCAGUGGGGAAUAUUGGACAAUGGGCGCAAGCCUGAUCCAGCCAUACCGCGUGGGUGAAGAAGGCCUUCGGGUUGUAAAGCCCUUUUGUUGGGAAAGAAAUCCAGCUGGCUAAUACCCGGUUGGGAUGACGGUACCCAAAGAAUAAGCACCGGCUAACUUCGUGCCAGCAGCCGCCGUAA
This 506-nucleotide ribosomal RNA is filed under the name uncultured bacterium. RNAcentral describes it as "partial 16S ribosomal RNA". It matches the Rfam family "Bacterial small subunit ribosomal RNA", at positions 30 to 523 of the family's 1533-position model. The record is from RNAcentral.